GAACACAAAAUGGCGACACGUGGUUAGCAUUCGUCGCCAACGAGAAAUUGGGGUCGGCCCGAAAGCUCUAGAAUGCACCCCUCUUCCUCCCCGGGGCCUUCCACCUCCGCGAGUUUUAUGACUUAAAAAAGCCCACAGGCUGGUCUGAAGAGGAAGACAAACAUAAAGAUGAAGUGCUUAAUUCAAGGUCACACAAUGUCGGGGAUGGACCUCCAGAUUUCCUUACUGGAAAACAAGCUCAGGGCUCCCACUGAUUGUACAUUAUGGUGAGACGUGGUCUUGUAACACAGUGGUUAAGAAUGUGACUUUGGAGCCAGCCUGCUAGGGGCUGAAUUCUGACUCAGCCAUUUACUAACUGUGUGACCUUAGGGAGGAGGACCUGGUUGAUAGAAGAAUUUAUCUCGUAGUCUUAACAUCCACUGUAAUUCCAAACUUUGAGGACGAUAGAGAUCAGUGGGCUUUGACUGCCCAGCAUGCAGUCUCCAUUCUUAGGUGGGUUCCCAAGCCUGUAAAAUGUAAGCCUUAUGCUGCUGAGGGCCAUCUUGCCACCCUGAGGGAAACGCUGCCUGAGAAUGAAACAAGCAUAAGUAAAAGCUGAGCUGUGAGAUGGAGCAAGAUGAAGGCCACAUGACAUCUUUGGAGCACCUGGAUCUAACUGUGCCUUAAGCUAGUCUAACCCUGAACAUUUCAUCAUUUCAUUGACAUGAGCCCAGGUUUUCUUUUUUUUUGGAUGGAGUCUUGCUCUGUCGCCCAGGCUGGAGUGCAGUAGCUCAAUCUCGGCUCACUGCAAGCUCCACCUCCCGGGUUCACGCCAUUCUCCUGCCUUAGCCUCCCAAGUAGCUGGGACAACAGGCGCCCACCACCACUCCCAGCUAAUUUUUUGUAUUUUUAGUAGAGACGGGGUUUUACCAUGUUAGCCGGGAUGGUCUUGAUCUCCUGACCUCAUGAUCCGCCCGCCUCGGCCUCCCAAAGUGCUGGGAUUACAGGUGUGAGCCACUGCACCCAGCCCUCAGGUUUUCCCUUUUUUUACCCCUCCUUUUGAAAAUUUGAUGUGGAAUUUUGCCACCUGCAGCCAGAAGAGUUUUAACUAAUCAGUGCCAUAAAUUUUAUAUAGUUCUCCUUGCAAAAUGUGGAUCAGCCUUUCUCAGCAAAUCCUUUGUCAUAAAGUGCUGAAUUGUAAGUUUGUCAUGAGAAUCACAUGAGAUCAUGCAUGUGAAGAACCUGGCAUUAUCCUCCUCAUAGAAAAAAACCAGUAAAUAUUAACUACAGGAAGCAAGGAAGGAGUGGGGUGAGGGGAAGAAGAAGGGGUACUGAUUUAAAAGAACCCUGGAGUCCUAAGGAUAAUCUAGGAACCCUCAGACCCAAUCCGAUACCCCUAUUCUAAAUGCUCCUAGUGCCCUGUACCUUCCCCUCAUAAGCCUUCAUUAUCAUUGUAAUGAUAUGUUUAUGUAAUAUUUUGAUUAAUGUCUCUCCUUCACUGACCUAGCAGUUCUAGCAGGGCAGUGAUUUUGCUGUGUUGCAUCCCCAGCACCUAGUCUGGUAUGUGGCAUUCAGCAUAUGUUUAUUGAAUGAAUGGCCAUGUGGUUAUUCAGAUCCUCCUUGAUUAUUGGGGUUAGGAUUGUGGCAGAAGUGGCAAAAUCAGGGAGAGUAGUCCCUGUCCCCUCUGUAUCUUAUACACUGCCCACACUCCCAACACACAUACACAUACAGAGAAUUUUGUCUCAAUUAGAUAAUUAACUUCUGCUUGGUUGUAAACCAAACCACUGGUUCUUAAACUUUCAUUGGAUCAUUUUAUUGAAGAAUUAAAUAGUGUGGUUCUGGCCUAAUGUCUGGAAAGCCUUGCAGAGGAGUGGAUUAGGUCUUUGUGAUAAACAGGCAGCCUUCCCUGCUCCUGUGUCUUUAUAAAAUCUAUUUAACUGGAGUAGUCCACCCUCCCUCAGGCUCUUACAGGAAUAUGUUGGAGGCUGUAGGAAGGUGGGAAACCGAGAGGGAAAGGACUGGGCCGCUGGAGACUUCACUCAUUCCCUAGCAAGAAACAAAAGCAGUAAAAGGUGGCCCGAGGACAACCUGAAGCUCACUCCUUCAGCACUUUUGGCUGGAGGUCACUUGUUGGAGCCCCACUCAGAGCUCAGCACACCACCCCACCAGCAGCCUCCUCCUCCCAGCUGAGGCUGCAUUUCAUCCCUUCCCCCAGCCUGCUUUCCCUGAGAUAGGGGAGUGUUUCCCAGGGCCCAUGUGACUUCCACUGGCAAGUGACGAUUACCAAUGGUUUACUAGUCAGUGAAACUACCAAAGGCUUUUGUGCUGUAGUAAUCCUUUUCCUGUUUAAAACUCUGGGGAUUUUCUAAUGUUGCCAAUAGUUUUUCAAGUCAGCAAUUACUGUGUGGAUUAUGUAAUGGCUCGGUAUUA
This 2409-nucleotide long non-coding RNA is filed under the name Homo sapiens (human). RNAcentral describes it as "PCBP1 antisense RNA 1". The record is from RNAcentral. Lineage: Eukaryota; Metazoa; Chordata; Mammalia; Primates; Hominidae.